RNAcentral lists this ribosomal RNA (497 nucleotides) under uncultured bacterium. RNAcentral's name for it is "partial 16S ribosomal RNA". It matches the Rfam family "Bacterial small subunit ribosomal RNA", at positions 28 to 507 of the family's 1533-position model. The record is from RNAcentral.
GAUGAACGCUGGCGGCGUGCCUAAUACAUGCAAGUCGAGCGAACAGACGAGGAGCUUGCUCCUCUGACGUUAGCGGCGGACGGGUGAGUAACACGUGGAUAACCUACCUAUAAGACUGGGAUAACUUCGGGAAACCGGAGCUGAUACCGGAUAAUAUAUUGAACCGCAUGGUUCAAUAGUGAAAGACGGUUUUGCUGUCACUUAUAGAUGGAUCCGCGCCGCAUUAGCUAGUUGGUAAGGUAACGGCUUACCAAGGCAACGAUGCGUAGCCGACCUGAGAGGGUGAUCGGCCACACUGGAACUGAGACACGGUCCAGACUCCUACGGGAGGCAGCAGUAGGGAAUCUUCCGCAAUGGGCGAAAGCUUGACGGAGCAACGCCGCGUGAGUGAUGAAGGUCUUCGGAUCGUAAAACUCUGUUAUUAGGGAAGAACAAAUGUGUAAGUAACUAUGCACGUCUUGACGGUACCUAAUCAGAAAGCCACGGCUAACUACGUG